GGAAGAGGAUGCGGCCUGGUGGUCGUCACGGGCUUCAAACCCGCUGGGGGCUUACCGGUGUAAGUCUCGGUGAGUUCGAUUCUCACCCCUUCCG
RNAcentral lists this transfer RNA (94 nucleotides) under Candidatus Zixiibacteriota bacterium. RNAcentral's name for it is "tRNA-Sec". It matches the Rfam family "Selenocysteine transfer RNA". The record is from RNAcentral. Lineage: Bacteria; Pseudomonadati; Candidatus Zixiibacteriota.